Molecule: ribosomal RNA, 499 nt
Filed under: uncultured bacterium
Lineage: Bacteria
Description: bacterial SSU rRNA
Rfam family: Bacterial small subunit ribosomal RNA
Source: RNAcentral
GAUGAACGCUAGCGGGAGGCCUAAUACAUGCAAGUCGAGCGGUAGAGUGACUUCGGUUGCUUGAGAGCGGCGAACGGGUGAGUAACGCGUACACAAUCUACCUUUAAGAGGGGAAUAGCCUUGGGAAACUGGGAUUAAUGCCCCAUGGCAUCACGAGACGGCAUCGUUUUGUGGUUAAAGCUGAGGUGCUUAGAGAUGAGUGUGCGUCUGAUUAGCUAGUUGGUGCGGUAACGGCGCACCAAGGCGACGAUCAGUAGGGGGCGUGAGAGCGUGGACCCCCACACGGGUACUGAGACACGGACCCGACUCCUACGGGAGGCAGCAGUAAGGAAUAUUGGUCAAUGGAGGAAACUCUGAACCAGCCAUCCCGCGUGCAGGAAGAAUGCCCUAUGGGUUGUAAACUGCUUUUAUCUGGGAAGAAAAGUCGGGAUUUAUCCUGAUCUGACGGUACCAGAGGAAUAAGCACCGGCUAACUCCGUGCCAGCAGCCGCGGUAAAGU